UACGUAGGGGGCAAGCGUUGUCCGGAUUUAUUGGGCGUAAGGAGCGUGUAGGCGGCCGUGUAGGUCCGUUGUGAAAACUCGAGGCUCAACCUCGAGACGUCGAUGGAAACCACACGGCUAGAGUCCGGAAGAGGAGAGUGGAAUUCCUGGUGUAGCGGUGAAAUGCGCAGAUAUCAGGAAGAACACCUAUGGCGAAGGCAGCUCUCUGGGACGGUACUGACGCUGAGACGCGAAAGCGUGGGGAGCGAACAGG
Molecule: ribosomal RNA, 253 nt
Filed under: uncultured bacterium
Lineage: Bacteria
Description: partial 16S ribosomal RNA
Rfam family: Bacterial small subunit ribosomal RNA
Source: RNAcentral